GAGAGCCCGGUGCGGUGAGAGCCGCACACCGGGUUCGGCGAGCGGCACGGAGAAACGGACCGAUGGCAACACCGGCACCGCGCUCCGUGCUGACUCAAC
This 99-nucleotide non-coding RNA is filed under the name Streptomyces sp. DvalAA-43. The record is from RNAcentral. Lineage: Bacteria; Bacillati; Actinomycetota; Actinomycetes; Kitasatosporales; Streptomycetaceae.